Molecule: ribosomal RNA, 601 nt
Filed under: Priestia megaterium
Lineage: Bacteria; Bacillati; Bacillota; Bacilli; Caryophanales; Bacillaceae
Description: bacterial SSU rRNA
Rfam family: Bacterial small subunit ribosomal RNA
Source: RNAcentral
GCUUCUAUGACGUUAGCGGCGGACGGGUGAGUAACACGUGGGCAACCUGCCUGUAAGACUGGGAUAACUUCGGGAAACCGAAGCUAAUACCGGAUAGGAUCUUCUCCUUCAUGGGAGAUGAUUGAAAGAUGGUUUCGGCUAUCACUUACAGAUGGGCCCGCGGUGCAUUAGCUAGUUGGUGAGGUAACGGCUCACCAAGGCAACGAUGCAUAGCCGACCUGAGAGGGUGAUCGGCCACACUGGGACUGAGACACGGCCCAGACUCCUACGGGAGGCAGCAGUAGGGAAUCUUCCGCAAUGGACGAAAGUCUGACGGAGCAACGCCGCGUGAGUGAUGAAGGCUUUCGGGUCGUAAAACUCUGUUGUUAGGGAAGAACAAGUACGAGAGUAACUGCUCGUACCUUGACGGUACCUAACCAGAAAGCCACGGCUAACUACGUGCCAGCAGCCGCGGUAAUACGUAGGUGGCAAGCGUUAUCCGGAAUUAUUGGGCGUAAAGCGCGCGCAGGCGGUUUCUUAAGUCUGAUGUGAAAGCCCACGGCUCAACCGUGGAGGGUCAUUGGAAACUGGGGAACUUGAGUGCAGAAGAGAAAAGCGGAAU